Non-coding RNA from Durio zibethinus, 2474 nucleotides. Lineage: Eukaryota; Viridiplantae; Streptophyta; Magnoliopsida; Malvales; Malvaceae. The record is from RefSeq and is a predicted model, not a curated record.
UUCCAAGCAGCAGAUUUCCCUGGCACUGGCGCCGUCUUUCUUUGAGUAGCUUCCCAAACAAACUCAAACAAAGUUAAAAGCCAUCUGAUUCAAUUUUUUUUUCCCUUGAGGAAAGAAAGUCUGAAACAGGAAUGGGAUUCAGGUUCCAAAAUCUAAAUCCCAUGUACAGAUCCUACCUCUCAAGAGUCUCUUCACUCAAAAAUCUCCACCCCAACCCCAUUAUGAUCCAGUCCCUCAUUCCCCGUUUCCAAGGUUACCCUCUCCCUGUCUUCUCUGAUAACCCCAAUUACAACAUCACCAGACGGUGGCAUUUAGGUCAUUCUCAUGAUCACCACCAUAAUGUAACCAAGGAAGGAGAAAAGGUAUUCCGGUUGGGUCUGGGAGCGGAUGUCUGUUUAGCUACCGGUAAAGCUUUAACUGGGUAUAUAUCUGGAAGCACCGCCAUCAUUGCCGAUGCCGUCCAUUCAAUUUCUGACGUGGUUCUAAGUGGGGUUGCUUUAUGGUCAUUCAAAGCUGCGAAGGCUCCCAAAGACAAAAAACACCCAUAUGGACGUGGUAAGUUUGAAACCCUUGGAGCCCUGGGAAUUUCUUGUAUGCUUUUGGCAUCUGCUGGUGGUAUUACAUGGCAUGCUUUGGAGCUCCUAAUUGGGUUGUUGUCCACUGCUCCUGACGUAGUUAAUAAUCAUUCAUGGGCUCACGGGCAUAGCCAUCAUCAUGGUGGACAUCAUCAUGGAAUUGAUAUGGAUCACCCUACACUAGCUUUGAGCAUGACCAUUGUAGCAAUAUGUGUUAAAGAAGGACUUUACUGGAUAACAAAAAGAGCUGGGGAAAGGCAAGGCAGUGGACUGAUGAAAGCAAAUGCAUGGCAUCACCGUUCAGAUGCAAUUUCUUCUGUAGUUGCACUUAUUGGUGUUGGAGGCUCUAUUGUUGGAGUAAAGUUUUUAGAUCCUCUUGCUGGACUGCUCGUCUCAGGAAUGAUUCUAAAAGCUGGACUGCAAACCGGAUACCAGAGUGUCCUUGAACUUGCUGAUGCUGCAGUUCCUGCAGAACAGUUGGAGCCCAUAAAUCAAACAAUUCUACAAGUUGAAGGAGUCAAGGGAUGCCAUCGUUUGAGAGGAAGGAGAGCUGGUUCAAAUCUGUACCUUGAUGUACAUAUUGUGGUCAAUCCCUUUUCUAGUGUUAGUGCUGCACAUGGCAUUGGUGAAAAUGUUCGUCAUCAAAUUCAUAAAUCCCACCCUGAAGUGACUGAAGUUUUCAUACACAUAGAUCCGGCAUAUGUAGAAUUCUCCCCUGAUGUAAUGGACCAGAAAGAAAGUUUGACAAGAAUCAUGGAACAAAAUAGUAAUAUUUCUAUGAGAGAGGAAAAUGUUGAAGCAAUUGUUUCUCGCAUAUUUUCAUCAAAGUUUCCAGAGAAAUUUGUGGUUGAACGCGCAACCCGUCACAUGUUGCAAGGGAAGAUAUUAGUCGAAGUUGAGGUUAGCAUGCCCCCGGAGAUGAUGAUUCGUGAUGCUAUGGAAGCGGCAAAGAAAGCAGAAAAGGAGAUAUUGAAUGCAGCAGCUUCAAACAUUGUUCAUGUCAAUGUUCAGCUAAGACUGGGACGUCCAAUUCCACAGUUCAAGUAUAUAUAAGCAAAGCUUCAAUUAUUCGAGAAGCCAGAUGCUUCUGGGUCAUAUAGUGUUUCCAGUACCAAGAAAUUUGAUUGUAUCUUUUUGACAAUAGGACUAAGCUUUAUUCAAGUCUACAUACAUCAAGAGAAAAGAAGGGAUAGGGAGCCAAGCCAGAUGAUACAGACAAUUGGAGUCUGAUUCUUUUAGUCUGACAUUUAUGUUUUUCAGAAAAAGAUAUUAUCAUCUCAAUGGCUCUGAAUCCGACUUUUUUUUUCUUAAUUGAAAAAAGAAAAAAUCAAAAGGAAUGGAGAGAAGAAGGCUCAGAAGGAUCCAUUGGUGAUUUUGUAAUCACAAAGGGCGAAUAACCCCUUCAUAAAAUAGGUAGUUUUUAACAUCAUCGCCCACCCUCUUUUAUCAUUGAAAAUUAAAUUAAACAAAAAAAAAUUGCUGAGCAUCUAAGAGGAAGAGGGAAAACUGACAUGAAACAGAAAAGGAAGCGAAUCCAUAGCAUUGGCUUCGGCGUCGGAGUUGGCAGUCACGAAUUGCUAUCGCCUCCCUAGUUAAAUAGAAAAAUCUAUAUUGGGGUUAGGGUCAGUGAGAGGAGAGAAGGGACAAGGCUUAUUACGAGUCUACCCCUAACCAAUGUUUACCAGACGAGGCAGAUAGAUAAUUUGAAUUUGGGCCUUGAAGGAUACCUUUGCGAAAUUAUGGGCUCUGGCUUAAUCUUUGUCUAAGUCCACUUGUUUUCAACAAGUCUCUCAUUCGGCCGGAGUUUAUUAUUCACGUGUUUUGCUUUUGGUUCAAAAUAAAACGAGUUUCGUGUUUGUUGUUUGUUUCAACUUUGAAGAGAAACGAGUCUUGGGGCCU